AUAAAUCCUCCAGGGAUUAUCGGUAUCUCUCAGAUUGGCAGUUGGACCACCGAGCUGCCAGCAGUGGCCCUAGGUCACCUUUAGAUCAGAGGUCUCCAUAUGGCUCCAGGUCCCCAUUUGAACAUUCAGCUGAACACAGAAGUACGCCUGAACACACCUGGAGUAGUCGGAAGACAUGACAGAAGCUCAUGAGUUUGUCUUCCGGGACUUUGUUUUAGCCAUAGAUCAUAAACCAACACAGUAAUUGCCUUACAUGACUUGAAAGAUUCAAACAGCUCUUCUGUCAGUAGCAGUAUUGUUACUUCUCUCCAGGACGCAAGGUCUAUUAUCCCAACAGAAGAGAAAAUAUUUUUAUAUUUAAGGAUUAUGCUGCACUGUACUGCGAUACUGCAGUACCUUUUUUUUCUUUUUUUAAAGAAAUGGAAAAUGUUUACUAUGCCAGGGACCUCAGCACUGCCCUCCCGUGUAGGCUGUAUAAAACUGUUUUUAUGUCAGUGAUUUUAGACUGACUCCAUUUAAAUUAUGUUUGUAUAUGAACUUUACUCUGACCUGUGAUCAUGUUUCAGGAAGGAAUAAAAGAGAGGUCUUUUCUUAAUAAAGAAAAAUCACUCAAGGACUUUGUUCACUUUCCAAAGCUACUUGUUUACAUUGUACACUGCGACCACCUUGCCGCUCCCAUCACAAGCUUGAAUAUUUAAAUCCUGUACUUAAGUUUGUAAUAUAGCCGGGAAUUUCCUGUCUGUGAUUAUUAUUAUGCCUUUUUACAGAAGAAGAUGGCUGUAAAUUAUUGUAAAUGGAUUAAAUGAGCUGCCCUGCCCUGCCCUUCUCAGGCUUCUUUUGACUGUUCCUUUCCCUACCAACUCAGGCCUUCUUAUUAAAAAAAAAAAUCAGUGUAAUAACACUUUUUAAUGAUUUGUCUUGAUGGAAUCAUUGUUUAGAAUGUAAAAAUGGGGAAAGGGGCCACUUAUUUCUUUUAGUCCUUUUUAUAUUGAGUAUUUUUAUUAGAUACAUGUUUUGCCCCUCCUUUUUAAAGUCAAUAUUGUGUUUGUAGUUUUACAGAAGCAGUGGCGAGGGUUACAUGUGAGACAAACUCGGUGCUCUGGGAGAGUCCCCAGUGCAUUGGGUUGAAAGGGUGGUAGGUGUAUGAACACUUAAAAUCCAAACGGCCAAACGUUCUUGUAAAUGCAUUGCUUUUCCCUUUCAUGUGGGCAAUAAUGUCAAACGUGCUAUGCAGCCAGGUUAACAUUUGAGGUAAACUUGAUUGGCUUUAAUAUAAAAACUGUUACAGUACACACUGAUUGUAUAUAAAAACCUUAUAUAUGACAAAUUAAAUUUUAAGAAAAAGG
This 1346-nucleotide long non-coding RNA is filed under the name Mus musculus (house mouse). RNAcentral's name for it is "long non-coding RNA chr17:15770144-15771490". Lineage: Eukaryota; Metazoa; Chordata; Mammalia; Rodentia; Muridae. The record is from RNAcentral.